AUAUAAGCAAAAAUUCAUGUUUUAGAUUCAUUCAAUAAAUGAUGUAUGUUGUUUACAAUAAAGACCACAUACAUCAUUUAUUGAAUGAUCCUAAAACAUUGAUUUUUGCUUAUAU
This is a microRNA precursor of Medicago truncatula (barrel medic), 115 nucleotides long. It matches the Rfam family "MIR2593 microRNA precursor family". Lineage: Eukaryota; Viridiplantae; Streptophyta; Magnoliopsida; Fabales; Fabaceae. The record is from Rfam.